GGAUAACCUUGAAAAAAAUCCCUUCAUCGCCAUGUAUUUCUGCCAUGAAUUGGCUAUCAAUUUUCCCCUCGGCUUCGCUUAGAUAGCUCACUAAGGCAUCCAAUUCUAUUUGGUCACCAGCUUUGCAUUUCACAGGUUCUUUCCAAAGAAGAUUUCCUGUUCUUGAAGCAACUAUGACACUUCUCCAGAUAAUUGCUAGAACCUCAAUUGAAGUUGGGGACUGGACAAACAGGGAUCUACUUGCUUCUGCCUUGAGCUGUCUUAUCGCCAAUGCAUCGAACACAAAUCUUCUCCAAGCACGCUUUCCUUUUCUGAACAUAGCGGGCUAAGUGAAAUGGAGCAAUAAAACGGGGAUAUGCUGCUUGUGAUGUAAAACAAGCAGUAGUUGACCGAGCUUUCAUAAAGGUGCAAAAUGAUGGCCCAUCAAAGACCUUGUGAGAAACACCAGCACAAAUAGCUAUAACGCCGCACAAAUGUGUUUACUUGAACCAGAAGAACAUAAUUACCUAAUUUUGAUGAAUCUGCUGGGUUUCAGGGAAAGAACUAGUGCAUAAAAUGGCUCUCCGUUUAUUUCAAGAAAUGUUGAUAGGUGAAAAGUUUUCACUUGGGCUUCGAUGAAAUAAACUCCCUCGUCACUGCAAUCAAUGUAAAGGCCAUGUUUGAUCUUUCCUGCAAACGGGUAAAAGUGAGAUGGCAGUUACAAGCAUGACUAGUUGUGGAAGAACUUGGCCAGAUCAUGAGAACAUGACGAGACAGACAAACAUGGAGCAUGGUUGAAAAUGCUUUUGAGGCAACUAAGUUCUGCAAACUGCCUGCUGCCUUGUUGGAAGAGAGAAUCACCAAGUUCAUGGAGGAACACAAGAGCAAACUGCUGAGGAGGGAGUAAUAGCUCAAUAAAUAGGCUGCAAUUGCUAUCGCUGUGGUUGUUGAAGAAGAAUCGAAUAAUCAAGGACGGAGAACAGGGUAUCGUGGCUCUAUUCUUGGUCAUAAUAUUGUCAAUCGUAUAGAAAGGAAGAUCUUACUGAUGAAUAUCUUCGAAUUGGAGAAACCACUAUGAUAGAAAGUCUUAGAGCUUUUGUUAAAGCAAUCGUAGAAGUUUUCGGUGAUUGGUAUCUAAGGGCACCAAACGAGGCCGAUAUUUGUCGAUUAUUGUCAAUUGGAGAGCAGCGUAGAUUUCCAGGGAUGUUAGAGAGCAUUGACUGUAUGCAUUGGAAAUGGGAGAAAUGCCCAAUUGCAUGGCAUGGGAUGUAUACUGGUCAUUGUCGUGAACCAACUAUAAUUCUAGAGGUGGUGACUUAACAAGAUAUUUGGAUAUGACAUCUCUUUUUUGGAAUGCCUGGAUCAUUAAAUGAUAUUAAUGUUCUUGAUUGGUCACUUA
Populus trichocarpa (black cottonwood) is the source of this 1378-nucleotide long non-coding RNA. RefSeq lists it as uncharacterized. The transcript is spliced from 3 exons. The record is from RefSeq and is a predicted model, not a curated record. Lineage: Eukaryota; Viridiplantae; Streptophyta; Magnoliopsida; Malpighiales; Salicaceae.